RNAcentral lists this long non-coding RNA (214 nucleotides) under Elaeis guineensis (African oil palm). RNAcentral's name for it is "long non-coding RNA (EGUI_LNC010160)". Lineage: Eukaryota; Viridiplantae; Streptophyta; Magnoliopsida; Arecales; Arecaceae. The record is from RNAcentral.
AGUCCGCCAGAAAGAGGGAGUUGGAGACCCCGGAACGAUGUAUGAAAGAGAUUCUUGAAAGCUAUCAAAGUAGAUAAUAGAGUGCUGCUUCUUAUGAAAAAACCCUCUUUCUUUGUUCAUGUCUUCAAUUCCUAUUGCUUGCCUUCCUACAUCUACUCAUGAAAUUCCAUCAAACCUGACACCAACCCGAGCUCUAGGGAGGGCAUCGCAGUGU